GUUCAUGUGAUGAUGAUUUACACGGAUUCCCCUUGAAGAUAUCAUAGAUUGUGCAAAUCUGAGUUUCUGAUGCU
This is a non-coding RNA of Glycine soja, 74 nucleotides long. The record is from Rfam. NCBI's taxonomy places the organism in Eukaryota, Viridiplantae, Streptophyta, Magnoliopsida, Fabales, Fabaceae.